AUAUGAAUCAUCUGAGGAUCUUGUUAAAAUACACAUUCUGAUUGAAUUGGUCUGGGGUGGGCUGAGCUUUUGCAUUUCUAAUACUCUCCCAUGAGAUUGAUAC
Molecule: microRNA precursor, 103 nt
Filed under: Marmota monax (woodchuck)
Lineage: Eukaryota; Metazoa; Chordata; Mammalia; Rodentia; Sciuridae
Source: RNAcentral